This 229-nucleotide ribosomal RNA is filed under the name uncultured bacterium. RNAcentral describes it as "partial 16S ribosomal RNA". It matches the Rfam family "Bacterial small subunit ribosomal RNA", at positions 568 to 796 of the family's 1533-position model. The record is from RNAcentral.
UGCGUAGGCGGAUCAAUGAGUCAGUGGUGAAAUCUCUCGGCUCAACCGGGAAACUGCCAUUGAUACUGUUGAUCUUGAGUUCGGUUGAGGUAGGCGGAAUGUGUAAUGUAGCGGUGAAAUGCUUAGAUAUUACACAGAACACCAAUUGCGUAGGCAGCUUACUAGACCGACACUGACGCUGAGGCACGAAAGCGUGGGGAGCGAACAGGAUUAGAUACCCUGGUAGUCC